UACGUAGGGGGCAAGCGUUAUCCGGAAUUACUGGGUGUAAAGGGAGCGUAGACGGUAAUGCAAGUCUGGAGUGAAAGGCGGGGGCCCAACCCCCGGACUGCUCUGGAAACUAUGUUACUAGAGUGCAGGAGAGGUAAGCGGAAUUCCUAGUGUAGCGGUGAAAUGCGUAGAUAUUAGGAGGAACACCAGUGGCGAAGGCGGCUUACUGGACUGUAACUGACGUUGAGGCUCGAAAGCGUGGGGAGCAAACAGG
This 253-nucleotide ribosomal RNA is filed under the name uncultured bacterium. Its description in RNAcentral is "partial 16S ribosomal RNA". It matches the Rfam family "Bacterial small subunit ribosomal RNA", at positions 524 to 776 of the family's 1533-position model. The record is from RNAcentral.